CGGGACACGUGGUAUCCUGUCUGAAUAUGGGGGGACCAUCCUCCAAGGCUAAAUACUCCUGACUGACCGAUAGUGAACCAGUACCGUGAGGGAAAGGCGAAAAGAACCCCGGCGAGGGGAGUGAAAAAGAACCUGAAACCGUGUACGUACAAGCAGUGGGAGCACGCUUAGGCGUGUGACUGCGUACCUUUUGUAUAAUGGGUCAGCGACUUAUAUUCUGUAGCAAGGUUAACCGAAUAGGGGAGCCGAAGGGAAACCGAGUCUUAACUGGGCGUUAAGUUGCAGGGUAUAGACCCGAAACCCGGUGAUCUAGCCAUGGGCAGGUUGAAGGUUGGGUAACACUAACUGGAGGACCGAACCGACUAAUGUUGAAAAAUUAGCGGAUGACUUGUGGCUGGGGGUGAAAGGCCAAUCAAACCGGGAGAUAGCUGGUUCUCCCCGAAAGCUAUUUAGGUAGCGCCUCGUGAAUUCAUCUCCGGGGGUAGAGCACUGUUUCGGCAAGGGGGUCAUCCCGACUUACCAACCCGAUGCAAACUGCGAAUACCGGAGAAUGUUAUCACGGGAGACACACGGCGGGUGCUAACGUCCGUCGUGAAGAGGGAAACAACCCAGACCGCCAGCUAAGGUCCCAAAGUCAUGGUUAAGUGGGAAACGAUGUGGGAAGGCCCAGACAGCCAGGAUGUUGGCUUAGAAGCAGCCAUCAUUUAAAGAAAGCGUAAUAGCUCACUGGUCGAGUCGGCCUGCGCGGAAGAUGUAACGGGGCUAAACCAUGCACCGAAGCUGCGGCAGCGACGCUGAUGCGUUGUUGGG
Molecule: ribosomal RNA, 810 nt
Filed under: Escherichia coli
Lineage: Bacteria; Pseudomonadati; Pseudomonadota; Gammaproteobacteria; Enterobacterales; Enterobacteriaceae
Description: partial 23S ribosomal RNA
Rfam family: Bacterial large subunit ribosomal RNA
Source: RNAcentral